This 1271-nucleotide long non-coding RNA is filed under the name Nicotiana benthamiana. RNAcentral's name for it is "long non-coding RNA (NBEN_LNC020319)". Lineage: Eukaryota; Viridiplantae; Streptophyta; Magnoliopsida; Solanales; Solanaceae. The record is from RNAcentral.
AAUUUUAGAGAGGGGAUUUUGAAUAAAAAGUCCAGAAAUUAAAGAGUUUCUUUUUUGAGUGAGAAACAGUCUGGAGAACUAUAAGAAAUCAGUUCUUCAGAGAGAGUUUAGGGCUGGUCUUUUCUUUGGAAUCAGUUGUUUAGUUAAAAAAGGGAGAGAAAUAUUGAGAGUGGCCAAUUCUUGAGAGUUUGGCCAGUCUUUGAGAGCUUAAACACACAACAGAGUUUUCAGAGCGUGGGAAUACUUCUAUAAACACUAAGAGAGAGAGUUUAAGGGAUUACUAUUUGAUUUCCCGAUUAUGUGCCUAAUUCAAAUCCCUUAAUUCAACUCCUGGUGAUUAAGCUGUGAUGUGUUUCUGGGAAUCAGUUCUGAGGUCAUUUGAGCUUAUUUGAGCUAUUUGAGUUUGAGUAUUUUGUUUUUGUCUGGUUUCAAAUUCUCCUGGGUUUGCUGCAUUCAUUACUAGGCUAUAGUUGAUUGCUGUCUGUGUUGCUGCUUUGCUACUGCUGAUUAUCCUUCUUUUUUCUUGUAUUCCAUUAUCCAGGUGUUUGUUUCUCUCCUGAUGUAUUGAUAUUGAGUUUGAAGUAGAGAUGCAAAUCAGAAAUGUUUACCCCUGUGCUUAUUAAGCUCUGUUUGUUUUGGACCAUUAUGUAUUAAUGCAUAAAUAGUUUAGACACAAAAUCUUAGUGUAGCUUAGUCAUGAUUUGCAUAUGACUUAAACUGGACUAUAAUUGGAUUGUAUUAAAUGGUAGUUAUUCAGUUUAUGUCUUGUGCAAAUGGAUCCUUGAAUCUAUUUCAUUUCCGUUUGGCUGAGAAAUAUAAAGCAUUCAUGAUUACUUGAAACUUUUGUUUGUAUAACUUCUAUGUACAAACGUGAGCUGUGUAAGUUGCUUCAUCCGUACAAUGUAGUGUGGUUUAAUUUCUCCAAGUAAUUAACCCGGGUCUAGAUUUCGAAAAUUAUCAAGUGUAGUGAUAUGUGAAGCAAUUAGUAUAGAUACUUCUUAGCCUAAUAUAGUUUUAUUUAUGGUCCUUAUGUGCAAUGAAGUACUCAAAAUGGUGAACACUUCAAUUGGUAAUCCUCAACCCAUUAACCCGGGUCUAGAUUUCGAAAAUUAUCAAGUGUAGUGGAUAUGUGAAGCAAUUAGCAUAGAUACUUCUUAGCCUAAUAUAGUUUCAUUUGUGGUCCUUAUGUGCAAUGAAGUACUCAAAAUGGUGAACACUUAAAUUGGACUGUAUAAGUUGGAUUUCUAAUUCAUCUUUGCAUAAUAACAAUU